This is a small nuclear RNA of Callithrix jacchus (white-tufted-ear marmoset), 105 nucleotides long. Lineage: Eukaryota; Metazoa; Chordata; Mammalia; Primates; Cebidae. The record is from Ensembl.
GUUUACUUCAGUGGCACAUGUACUAACACUAGAACAAUAUAGAGAAGAUUAGCAUGGCCCCUGUGGAAGGAUGACACGCAAAUUUGUGAAGUGUUCCAUAUUUUU